UUGACAGUACUUCAACAGGAAGCUGGAUAGAGACACUUCGUCACAUCAAGCUACGAGAAAGCAUAUCAUCAUUUCACCGAAAUCUACUCGAACACCGCAUCCAAAUCAGACUUUAAAAAUGGCGUCCAAAACCAUGAUUGCUCUCUACUUUCUGAUUGCCUUGGCCGUGGCAGCAAGUGUUUUAGUCGAGGAAGAUGAGAUCGACAAUUCUAAUGCGUUGAAUGUCGAGAAAAACGUCAAAGGCGUCAAGGAAGAUGAGAUCGACAAUGAUAAUGAGUUGGAUGUCGAGGAAGACAUGCCUUAUACUCCCCGCAGGAGUAGAAUAGGGGAAGAGUAGCUUCGAGAAGAUCGGAAAGUAUACUAGCUGGAUCUUUUCCAUGUGGUCAGACGUCUGCUCUGUUUGUUGAGACUUUUUUCAAAUUAAUGCGAGAAAAACAAUCAUCGGUGAUCAGUCAUCACUGACCUUAACCCUAACCCCAACGAAUUCAUAACCUUGUCUCUAA
Strongylocentrotus purpuratus (purple sea urchin) is the source of this 503-nucleotide long non-coding RNA. RefSeq lists it as uncharacterized. NCBI's taxonomy places the organism in Eukaryota, Metazoa, Echinodermata, Echinoidea, Camarodonta, Strongylocentrotidae. The record is from RefSeq and is a predicted model, not a curated record. The transcript is spliced from 4 exons.